ACUUAAAUAGUUUAUACUAAAAUAUUAAUUUGUGGAAUUAAAGAUAUUAAAUUAAUUUUAAGUA
Molecule: transfer RNA, 64 nt
Filed under: Scolytinae sp. BMNH 1040065
Lineage: Eukaryota; Metazoa; Arthropoda; Insecta; Coleoptera; Curculionidae
Description: tRNA-His
Source: RNAcentral